Molecule: ribosomal RNA, 247 nt
Filed under: uncultured bacterium
Lineage: Bacteria
Description: partial 16S ribosomal RNA
Rfam family: Bacterial small subunit ribosomal RNA
Source: RNAcentral
UAAGCUGACGAGUGGCGAACGGGUGAGUAAUGUAUCGGAACGUGCCCAGUCGUGGGGGAUAACUGCUCGAAAGAGCAGCUAAUACCGCAUACGACCUGAGGGUGAAAGCGGGGGAUCGCAAGACCUCGCGCGAUUGGAGCGGCCGAUAUCAGAUUAGGUAGUUGGUGAGGUAAAGGCUCACCAAGCCGACGAUCUGUAGCUGGUCUGAGAGGACGACCAGCCACACUGGGACUGAGACACGGCCCAG